CAGUCGCCACGGUAAUACGAAGGGUGCAAGCGUUAAUCGGAAUUACUGGGCGUAAAGCGUGCGUAGGUGGUGGUUUAAGUCCGUUGUGAAAGCCCUGGGCUCAACCUGGGAAUUGCAGUGGAUACUGGGUCACUAGAGUGUGGUAGAGGAUAGUGGAAUUUCCGGUGUAGCAGUGAAAUGCGUAGAGAUCGGAAGGAACAUCUGUGGCGAAGGCGACUAUCUGGGCCAACACUGACACUGAGGCACGAAAGCGUGGGGAGCAAACAGGAUUAGAUACCCCCGUAGUCCCUGUCUCUUAUAC
RNAcentral lists this ribosomal RNA (301 nucleotides) under uncultured bacterium. Its description in RNAcentral is "partial 16S ribosomal RNA". It matches the Rfam family "Bacterial small subunit ribosomal RNA", at positions 509 to 807 of the family's 1533-position model. The record is from RNAcentral.